This 25-nucleotide unclassified non-coding RNA is filed under the name Dictyostelium discoideum. The record is from RNAcentral. Lineage: Eukaryota; Evosea; Eumycetozoa; Dictyosteliales; Dictyosteliaceae.
GGGGUUACUGAUGAAAGAUACAUCC